UACGUAGGGGGCUAGCGUUGUCCGGAAUCAUUGGGCGUAAAGCGCGUGUAGGCGGUCCGGUAAGUCCGCUGUGAAAGUCGGGGGCUCAACCCUCGAAUGCCGGUGGAUACUGUCGGGCUAGAGUGCGGGAAGAGGCGAGUGGAAUUCCUGGUGUAGCGGUGAAAUGCGCAGAUAUCAGGAGGAACACCAAUUGCGAAGGCAGC
Molecule: ribosomal RNA, 203 nt
Filed under: uncultured bacterium
Lineage: Bacteria
Description: partial 16S ribosomal RNA
Rfam family: Bacterial small subunit ribosomal RNA
Source: RNAcentral